Molecule: long non-coding RNA, 3126 nt
Organism: Cyprinus carpio carpio
Lineage: Eukaryota; Metazoa; Chordata; Actinopteri; Cypriniformes; Cyprinidae
Source: Ensembl
AUGUUUAUUUGUGUGUUACAAUUUGGCCAUAUCUUCCGCUGCCAUCUAGUGGUUAUAAAAUGCAUUUACUCAAACAACACUGUGUUUUUAAACAUAACUGUUAUAGUGUUAUUUUUUGCCCAAUCUUUCUUAAAUUUUGCAUGCUUGUUUAGAAUAAAAUUAUGCAUUAUUUUUUUACACAGUUUUGAUAAUUUGUGGGCUUUCUGUUUGUAUUAAUAGGCCUUUGUGUACACUAUGAAAAGAACAUAUUAAAAAAAUUACUGGUUUAUAGUUGUCCAAAUGCAAUUGUUCAACAUGUUUUUGAUAAUUAUUGACCUUCAGAGUCUAGCGAAUUGUACUUCAGUGGUUUUAUUGAUUUUUCAGCUUAAAGCCUUGGAUUAGUUUGCCAAAGUAACUUUUUUUAAAAUAAUCUUGAAUAUUUAAUUAACAGCUUUUAUUGACAACAUUGGUCCCAGAGGCAAAGUUGUUCAGAAUGAGGACAUCUAUCAUAUGAUAUGAAGAUCUAGUGUUUGUGUGAAUAUAUGAGCAUUUUCAACCAAUUUGAGGCCAUUUACCAUAUAAAUCUUUUGUUUUUGAGGCCUUUUCUACUGUGAUAGCGCCACCUAUGGUUUGAUUUCCAUGAAACUUUGCAUGCUUGUUCAGAGUCAUCUGACACAUGUUUUCACCAAGUUUCGUAAAGUUUUGAGUUUUCAUUUAGGUUUUAUAGGCUUUUGGGUAUUUUUGGCCACGCCCCUUUUUCUAAAAUUAAGCUGUUAUAGCUAACCAAAGUACAAAAAUUCAACAUUUUUUUGAUAAUUAUUGAUCUAGAGAGUCCCGAGAAUCGUUCUGUAGUGGUUUGAUCGAGAUUAAGAGAAAAAAACCUAGGACUAGUUUGCAAAAAGUAAGUUUUUUAACUUAUUUGUGAAUAUUUAAUGAACGAUUUGAUUGACAGCAUUAGGCCCAGAGGCAAAGUUGUUCAUAAUGAGGAGAUCUAUUUUAAGAUAUGAAGAUCUAGUGUUUGUGUGAAUAUAUGAACAUGUUCUACAAUUUGAGGUCAUUUUCUGUAGAAAUCUUGUGUUUUUUGAUGCCCUCUUAACUGUUAUAGCGCCACCUAUGGUCCGAUCUCCAUGAAUCUUUGUAUGCUUGUUAAGAGUCAUCUGCUACAUGUUUUCCACCAAGUUUCAUAAUGUUUUUGAGUUUUCAUUUAGGUUUUAUAGGCUAUUGGGUAUAUUUGGCCACGCCCCUUUUAAAAAUGACCCAGUUAUAGCUAACCAAAGGACAAAAUUCAAAUUUUUUUGAUAAUUAUUGAUCUAGAGAGUCCACAGAAUAUUACUGCAGUAGUUUGGUUCCGAUCGGGCGAAAAACCUAGGACUAGUUCGCAAAAGUAGGUUUUUUUAACAUAUUUGUGAAUAAUUAAUGAACGAUUUGACUGACAGCAAUGGUUCUUGAGGCAAAGUUGUGCAUUAUGAGGAGAUCUAUCAAAUGAUAUCCAUAUUGCAUGGAUAUGUGAAACACCUAGUGAUUACAGAGCCAAAAAACUCGUUAGCGCCAACUAGUGGCCGAUUUCUUUCAAAAUUCUUACAGACCUUUAGGGCCAUGAGUCGAACAUGCCCACCGAGUUUCGUUCCGAUCAACCUCCGUUAACCUUGUCUAAUAGGUGCUUAAAUUUCAUUUGGCCAAUGGCGGCCAUGUUUUUUUGAGAUAUGCGAAAUGUCCUCAUAGACACUUGUGCCCCUUCAGACAAAGACACUGCAUACCAAUUUUCAAGUCGAUCGGACCAAUGGUUGCCUAGUUAUAGUUAUUUAUGUGUUUUUUGUGUCUUUUAGCGCCCCCAAGUGGCAGAGGUUCGCAAUUUUUUUUAUUUGACCACAGAUUGAGCUUAUACACAUGUGUACCGAGUUUGGUGAAGAUAUCUCAUUCCGUUCAAGAGUUAUAGCUAAAAUAACAUUUGGCUAACGUUAGCAUAGACGCUUUUUGGCGUACUGUUUCGCGUAAGAAUCAAAAUUUCAACUUUUUUUUGAUAAUUAUUGAUAAUGAGUGUCCAGAGAAUAUUUCUGCAGUGGUUUGGUUCUGAUCGGGUGAAAAACCUAGGACUAGUUCGCAAAAAGUAGGUUUCAGAUAUAACUCAAUUUUUGCGAGAAAAACCGAUGCGCCGUAGAGCGAAAAAUUUCGGACUCCACUUUUUGUUCGGGACUGACCCAAGGAUUACAACGAUGUAAAGUUUUUGAGUCUACGUCAAACGGUUUACGACUGCGGGCCAAAAAUGUCUGAAAUUUUUGUAUUUUGCGCUGUAGCGCCCCCGUUAGGCCGAUUGGGCCGGUUCUUUGCGCCUGAGUAGCGAGCAAGACUACUACCUUUUGACCAAGUUUCAGCUCUCUAGGCCUUACGGUUUGGGCUGCCCGUUCAGUUUUAAGGCGGAAGAAUAAUAAUAAUAAUAAUAAUAAUAAUAAUAAUAAAAAUCCUAACAAUUACAAUAGGGUUUCAGCACUGCGUGCUUGAACCCCUAAUAAUAAAUACANNNNNNNNNNNNNNNNNNNNNNNNNNNNNNNNNNNNNNNNNNNNNNNNNNNNNNNNNNNNNNNNNNNNNNNNNNNNNNNNNNNNNNNNNNNNNNNNNNNNCUUGAACCCCUAAUAAUAAUAAUAAUAAUAAAAAUCCUAACAAUUACAAUAGGGUUUCAGCACUGCGUGCUUGAACCCCUAAUUAAACUCUACACACAUUAAAAUCUAUUGAUCACUUUGAAGGAGGCUUGGCUUUUCAAGCCCAUAUAUGUAAUAAAAGAACACUCACACUAAAGGAUCAGUGCAAGCUUAUCCUUGAUUGUGUGCUUACAAUACAUACCUGAUGAUUCUAGGAUUGUUACAGCAAUCUCCUUACGCAGCUUUGACAGGAGGUGCGUAUUGGAAGGUAUCAUGAUUUCAGAUAGUGUCACUGGAAAAGCAUCCACUGUCUCCUUAGCCAUCUGUUGGGUAAUAUAAAUGUAUGUACUUGCAAAAUAAAUUAGACAUAGCAGAAUAAGAAAUUAAAAUAUUACACUAUUGAGGUUAUGAAAAAGUGAGUGUUGUUCCAAGGCUACAUAAAAUUGUAUAGUUACCUGCAUGACAUAAACGCCGCAGCUGCAACCAUCUUUCUGUAUGCUGUGGUUCACGA